CGGUUCAUGAACUUGAUUAUAGGAUUUGGUUCAUAAUUUGGGUUUUAUUUAUGAUUGGAUUUGGAUUUAGGGUUAUUUGUAGACUGGAUUAAGUUUGGGUUUUUAUUUGUGGACCUGAUUUGGGUCCAGGUUUGGAUUUUAUUUGUGGACUUGAUCAAAUUUGGGUUUUGGAUUUGGUUUUAUUUGUGGACUUCAUUUGGGUUCAGGUUUGGAUUUUAUUUGUUGACUUGAUCGGAUUUGGAUUUUUUGGGUUUAGGUUUUGAUUUUGGAUUUUUAUUUGUGAACUUGGGUUGUAUUUGGGUUUUAUGGGUUUUGAUUUUUUAUUUGUGGAUUAGAUUUGGUUUUGGAUUUUUAUUUGUGGACUGAUUUUUGUUUUGGGUUUGGAUUUAGGUUGGAUUUGGGUUUGGAUUUGGGUUUUGGUUUUUGAAUUUUGGUUUGGGGUUUGUUAGGUUUCGGGUUUUGGGUUUCAGUGUUUGGAUUUAGGUUUGAAUUUGGGUUUUGGUUUUGGAUUUUGGUUUUCAUAUUUUGAUUUUUUAUUUCUAGACUUUGUUUGGAUUUGGGUUCAAAAGGAUUGCAAUUCAAUUUAGGGUCUGAAAAAAAUUCCCUUUUGAUUUUACAAUUCGAUUUGGGGUCCGAAGAAAUCUCAUUUUGAUUUUGUAAUUUGAUUUGGGGUCCGAAGAAAUCCCCUUUUAAUUUUGCAAUUUGAUUUGGGGUCCAAAGAAAUCCCCUUUUGAUUCUAAUUUGAUUUGGGGUCCGAAGAAAUCUCCUUUUGAUUCUGCAAUUCAAUUUGGGCUCUGAGAAAAUUUCUUUUUGAUUUUGCAAUUUGAUUUGGGGUCUGAAGAAAUCCCCUUUUGAUUCUAAUUUAAUUUGGGGUCCGAAAAAAUUUCCUUUUUGAUUCUGAUUUGAUUUGGGGUCCGAAGAUAUCCCCGUUUGAUUUCGAUUUGGAGUCCGAAGAAAUCCCCUUUUGAUUCUGCAAUUCGAUUUAAGGUCCGAGAAAAUCCUCUUUUGAUUUUGUAAUUUGAUUUAAGGUCCGAAGAAAUCCCCUUUUGAUUUUGCAAUUCGAUUUUGAUUUGGGGUCCGAAGAAAGCCCCUUUUGAUUUUGCAAUUCGAUUUGGGGUCCGAAGAAAUCCCCUUUUGAUUUUACAAUUUGAUUUGGGGUUCGAAAAAAUUUCCUUUUGAUUCUGCAAUUCGAUUUGGGAUCCGAGGAAAUUCCUUUUUGAUUUUGUAAUUUGAUUUGGGGUUCGAAAAAAUUUCCUUUUGAUUUUGCAAUUCGAUUUGGAGUCCGAAGAAAUUUCCGUUUGAUCUCGAUUUGGAUUGAAUCUGAACUGGUUUGAGAGUUUUGUGGAUUGAUUCAAUGUUCUCGAAAGGGAUUGAAGGGUCCGAAGAAACGGAAAAUUCUUGAUUUCCCUCCCCUCUUCUUUCGAAAACACUGUACCGAUAAGGUUGGAGAUGACCAUGGCGAAGACGAUGAUGAUGGCCAGUGGAUUUGGUUCGACAUUUUCAAAAAAUGUUGAAGGGUCCGAAGAAACGGGGAAUCGACGAUUCCUAUCCCCUCUUCUUUCGAAAAUAUCAAACCGGCGAUGCUGGAGAUGACGUCGUUGAAGAUGAUGACAGUGGCGCGGAUCUGUUCGGCCGUCGGAUUUGAUUUGACAUCUUUGAAAGAUGCUGAAGGGUCCGAAGAAACGGGGAAUUGAAUAUUCCCCUCCCCUCUUCUUUCGAAAAUAUCAAACCGGCGAUGUCACGCCCCGCAACUGCCAGUUUGGUUGGUUUGGGCACGUCGAACAGACGCCGAACGGACAGCACCUCAUCUGUCCACCUAAGGCUAACAAACAGAGUCAUGUACAUCAAGUUGCCCAGGUAACUUAAACAAUAUACAUGAAGCACACAAGUGCAAUAUAAGCAAGAGCAAGAAUCACAAGUAGAUAUACAAGUAAACAAUAGAGAAAUUGUCACGCCCAGGUACCAGCGGAAGCAUAUCCGGUACGUGAACAGACCCGCCAUACACCUGCAGUAUAUAAGGCGUCUACAAACAAGCAAGUCGAUAGGAAGAAGAUCAUAGAAAAUUCUAUCCUGAUAUCAGAGCAAAGUACAAGUCACAAAGACUAUCAACAAGAGGGCAAAGAGAACAUAAACCAAAAUCUCAACUAAAAGAGAAAGUAACAUGACUAUAGUGACUGUCCAAAAAGUACAUAUACAUCACGGGGUAUACAAAAAUAGGUACAAUGGUAGUCUCUCUAUACAAAGGGACAUCACCCUCGGCCGUAGCCCGAGUAGCAAGGUGAUCGACUAGCACGCUCCUAGUAGUCCCUAGCUAGGCGCGACUCCCUUGCCACGAUCCCUAGCCUCUCCUAUAGAUGGCUCUGUAAAAACAACCACCAAAAGGGCGUGAGAACUAUUAACAAUAGUUCCCAGUGGGUAAGCCGCCAGCCUCGGCGAAUUACACCACUAGGCUCAUGAUGUACUAAUUGAAAGCAAAAACGAUAAUUGCAUGAUUUAUAAGCAUGAUGCUAACAAGUAAUAAGCAUGUAAUCAACAUGUAAUAGCAUUCUACAGUAAUGAAUCAUUUGCAUAAUAGGGAUAUGGCAAUUUCUAUAAUCAUGAACAUAAGCAUGAAUAUAAGCACGAACAUGAAAGUGACUACUGUACACUUUAAUUAAUAAGCAUUCAUUACUGUCCUUUUUCAUUGAGUACUAUCCUUUCAUUCACAGGGACCUACUCAAGGUAGUCCAGCUUGCGCCGCGCCUAAUGGCCCCGUGGUAGUAUACACUCCCCACGGCAAUCCACUUCGGCACCCAAUCCCGCACGGGCGAGCAACUGUCGCGUAGGCCAACUCCGGAGUGCCGGCUUGUAGGGAGCUACCCUCACAAGCGUGUGCGAAUGAGCACGAUGGCAAGCAAGCAAAGUCCAUUGUCCACAUGUCACAAUUUUCAUAUUAUCAAUACAAAGUUCAUAACCCUCGAUCCUCUGAUCGGAAUAUCAAUACACAAAUAGUAACAAAAGCUAGUAUCCACUAGAUUGUAAACAUGUAAGGGUAAAGCUAAAUCACAUAGCAUUACAAUCUUUCCACUAGUAUGACACUAUCAACGUAGUCAUGAGCAUGUCAUAGUUCUCUAUGUUAGAGUCAAGAGAAUGUCAUUGUUCUCUACUUUAAAGUGCAUCCUACACUUGUUCAUAAGUCAUUCAACUGAAUUGAAUAUAAAUAGAAAGACUUUCAUGGAUAAGUAUUCUCUACUUUAUAGAGACUUCAUUUCGAAUAUGUUCAACAUUAUAAUGACGAAUGUCAAGCCCCUUUAUUAAUCACAUAAGCGCACAAUAAGACCAUUUCUAUAAUACAUAUAGAACAUAGAGGAGUUUCACUUGCUCUGGUUAGGUCCGACCCACCUAGUAUUAGGCUCCAAAUCAGUCCAAGAAGUCUCAAGGAUCAGCUCCACUAGGUCUCAAUCCUGCUGAACACGAAGCACAAAGAUCGGAUCAAAUCACGAUUGAAAUGUCCAAUUUCGGCGCAAUUGCACUUAAUACAUAGGAAUAGCUUAAAUCCCUGUUUGGCUUAGUUCAAUACCUCACGUUAAGCUUCCAGAAGGCCCUCCAAGGCCAAACGAAGGCGGUCCAAGGGUCAAACACCCUCUCGCUGCGAACAAUUCCGAAACGACAUCAAACUCAUCAAUAAUAGCAAUUAUGGUCGGAAUCUUGCAAUUUCGGCUUCCUAACUGAAAUUCUUACUUACCUUAGGGUAGAACACCUUCUAAACCAGCCUCCUAGGUCAUCAAAUAAGCUCCACGUGGUUCAAAAACCUGCUGCGAAGACACAAUGCCCAAAUUGCAUCAAUUCGAUAGAAUAACCCGCGUAUAGUCCGAAAUAGCUUCCGAAAUGGCUAAUUCUUCCAAUUAAGCUUCAAAGUAGCUUAUCCCUGGUCUACUGAGAUUAAUUCACAGUUAAAUAACUCAUCUUUAAGUGCUAAAACCUCAGUUUAAAACAGCUAGAAGCAACAACUCCAAAACUAUACAUAAUUCGUCCAAGAAAUUGCCGAAAAUGGAAAACGUGAGCCGAUUACCUCGCCAAGCCUCCAACCAGUAGCUCGCUGGUCCAGAGCUGCGAAAAGACUUCCAAAGUACUCUCUCACACGUUCACAAGGGCUCCGUAACACUCGCAACAAGCGACGAACAAGCGAGGCGACGAAAACGAGCAAAAUCGUCGAUUUCUAUAUAGAGAGAGAAAAACCCUAGAGAGAGAGAGAGAGGAAGGUGGAAGAACAAUCCCCUGAGCUCCAGCAACCUUCACUAAGCCCCCAGAGUCGUGCUGGGUUCAAAUAGAUAGGUGUCAAAAGUGAAAUGACCAAAAUACCCAAGCUGCCACGAAUCUGCCAGCUUGUACCGGUACAAGGUGAUGUCUGUACCGAUACAGCAAGCAGAAAAGGCUGAUUUUCGCCAGUUUGAUGCAAUUUCUCACUUUUAACAUUCCAAGCAUCCUCUAACUUAUCCAAACACUUGUUCUAACCUUUUAGAACAUGUAGGAGUGAUCCACACACCAUUCCACAUACUCGAACUCCGCAAUUUGCAAAAGUUCAGUAUAUUACAGAAAUAUCUCGGUAUUACAUUUUCAUACAACAUCCACAUAAUACAUUCACAUCUCCAAAAUGUGUAUACAAGUUCAACAUCUACAAACACGAGUAGCUCUCCAAUAUAUACAUAUCAACAUCCCUAUAUACAUGGAAUACUCUAAUGCAAAAAGGAAGCCACUAGCUACUAGGGCACUAUGCCCUUACCGCGGUCCUCGCCCGGUCCGCUCGAACUCGGCCCUGCAACAAAGUGGGGUGAGAACUUGUAAGAACUGAGAUUUUGGCAGUGUAGCUAAACUCUCUGUUGACGAUGUUUUUAUGUGUAAUUUAAUUACAAAAGCACUCGUCAAGUUUCGGGAGAAAUCGAGUUAAAAUGGAGAUUUU
RNAcentral lists this long non-coding RNA (4939 nucleotides) under Ananas comosus (pineapple). RNAcentral's name for it is "long non-coding RNA (ACOM_LNC014980)". Lineage: Eukaryota; Viridiplantae; Streptophyta; Magnoliopsida; Poales; Bromeliaceae. The record is from RNAcentral.